CUUUACCAUUGUCCUUCAGUGUUGUUUCAGAAAAGAAUUAUAGUGAUGAGGAGCUCUACUUUUGGCUGGUGCUGAGUAUUGUGUAGAUCCAUGUAUAAACCAGACCUCAGUUUUCUCUUCCUCAGUAAGCUUUAUAUGAAGGCAUAUGGUUGGGCCAAGAUAGAGAAGGUAAUCUAGAUGGAGCAGAGCCAUGGAAAUUUGGGUCACUUUCUCUUGAAACUCAGUAGUGCCUUCAAAGCCUGCUCAAGAUCAAUCUUACAUAUACCACUUCCUCUUGAUAAUAAAGGAUUGCUGUGCACACUCCACCUUUAUGUCUUGGUGGGUAAUAGUUCAUGAUGGGUAGCUCAGAUUAGUUUGUGAUCCAUGAUUAAAUGUCCAAUCUCUACUAAUUUAUCUUGUCUCAUUGUUCCAUAUAUUAGGACACCAAUAAAAACUUAAAUAAUUUAAUAGAUGUACUAUGAAAUUGAAUAGGUGUUUAUAGGUGUCCUAUACAUAGGACAAUGGCACAUAAUGACAUAAUGUGUAAUAACAAGCCAAAUACAUUUCUUAGAGUAGUUGUCUGCAGAGGUUAGCAGGAUUUCACCACAAGAUCUCAAGGAUCUGUGUUGUGAUUCACCUGUAGAGACCCAAACAGAAUCCCUUUCUGAUCUGGACACCUGGAAUCAUCAGGUCUUCUGGAUCAUGGCUUGGUGGUGACAUGUGGCCUAAGUGCCAAGGUAGUUUGCACAACAGGCUGUACCUGUUAUGGAGAUUCUCUUGAUUUUGGUGCCAUUCAAAACUAGCAGCAUUUUGAGUCACCUAGUAAAUGAGCUGGAAUAAUACACUUAAAAAAGUAAUGUGCUUCCUCCAAAAUCUAAACAAGC
This 863-nucleotide long non-coding RNA is filed under the name Marmota monax (woodchuck). The record is from RNAcentral. Lineage: Eukaryota; Metazoa; Chordata; Mammalia; Rodentia; Sciuridae.